Ochotona curzoniae (black-lipped pika) is the source of this 398-nucleotide long non-coding RNA. RefSeq lists it as uncharacterized. The transcript has 3 exons. Lineage: Eukaryota; Metazoa; Chordata; Mammalia; Lagomorpha; Ochotonidae. The record is from RefSeq and is a predicted model, not a curated record.
CUACUGAAGUCUACCUAAGUUUCAUGGGUUCCUUUUCAUUGCCUUACAGAAUUUUCUGGUGUGAAAGUGCCAUGACUUUAUAAUUCAACUGGACAUUUGAGUCAUUUCCACUUUUUAUUAUUAUGAGGAAUGAAUAUACAUCCUGCUGGUGCCAGGCAAGCUUUCAAUCUUUCUGACAGCCGCCCUCAGCAUAGGAAGUACAACUGGUGUUUUUCACCCAGUACCAUUAUGUAAUUAUCCAAACUCCAAUCAAAGACUGAGUCAUGAUCCAUGUAGACCUUAGAGUGGGAGAAUAUUGGACAUUUGAGCUGGAACUUGAAGGAGGUGAAAGGUUUGGCCAAGUGAAGAACGAGCAGAGGCGACAGCAAGAACAGAAGAUGUGGCACAUAAGGUAAGGA